This 152-nucleotide unclassified non-coding RNA is filed under the name uncultured fungus. RNAcentral describes it as "sequence contains ITS1". The record is from RNAcentral. Lineage: Eukaryota; Fungi.
UUGAUUAUUUGUUUUUUUUCUCAGAGAUUCAUGUAAUACAAGAGUUUGUAACCUCCGGCGGCCGAAGCCGCCGAAGCAACGUAAAGGUAAGUUCACAGGGGUUGGAGUUUUUCAACUCAGUAAUGAUCCCUCCGCUGGUUCACCAACGGAGA